Molecule: transfer RNA, 74 nt
Filed under: Octopus vulgaris (common octopus)
Lineage: Eukaryota; Metazoa; Mollusca; Cephalopoda; Octopoda; Octopodidae
Also listed under: 1 other name
Rfam family: tRNA
About the family: Transfer RNA (tRNA) molecules are approximately 80 nucleotides in length. Their secondary structure includes four short double-helical elements and three loops (D, anti-codon, and T loops). Further hydrogen bonds mediate the characteristic L-shaped molecular structure. tRNAs have two regions of fundamental functional importance: the anti-codon, which is responsible for specific mRNA codon recognition, and the 3' end, to which the tRNAs corresponding amino acid is attached (by aminoacyl-tRNA synthetases). tRNAs cope with the degeneracy of the genetic code in two manners: having more than one tRNA (with a specific anti-codon) for a particular amino acid; and 'wobble' base-pairing, i.e. permitting non-standard base-pairing at the 3rd anti-codon position.
Source: Rfam by way of RNAcentral
GGCCGGUUAGCUCAGUUGGUUAGAGCGUCGUACUAAUUACGCGAAUGUCGUGGGUUCGAGCCCCAUACUAGCCA